GAUGAACGCUGGCGGCGUGCCUAAUACAUGCAAGUCGAGCGAACGGACGAGAAGCUUGCUUCUCUGAUGUUAGCGGCGGACGGGUGAGUAACACGUGGAUAACCUACCUAUAAGACUGGGAUAACUUCGGGAAACCGGAGCUAAUACCGGAUAAUAUUUUGAUCCGCAUGGUUCAAAAGUGAAAGACGGUCUUGCUGUCACUUAUAGAUGGAUCCGCGCUGCAUUAGCUAGUUGGUAAGGUAACGGCUUACCAAGGCAACGAUGCAUAGCCGACCUGAGAGGGUGAUAGGCCACACGGGAACUGAGACACGGUCCAGACUCCUACGGGAGGCAGCAGUAGGGAAUCGUCCGCAAUGGGCGAAAGCCUGACGGAGCAACGCCGCGUGAGUGAUGAAGGUCUUCGGAUCGUAAAACUCUGUUAUUAGGGAAGAACAGAUGUGUAAGUAACUGUGCACAUCGUGACGGUACCUAAUCAGAAAGCCACGGCUAACUACGUG
This 497-nucleotide ribosomal RNA is filed under the name uncultured bacterium. RNAcentral describes it as "partial 16S ribosomal RNA". It matches the Rfam family "Bacterial small subunit ribosomal RNA", at positions 28 to 507 of the family's 1533-position model. The record is from RNAcentral.